UACAGAGGUCCCAAGCGUUGUUCGGAUUCACUGGGCGUAAAGGGUGCGUAGGCGGUUGGGAAAGUCUGGCGUGAAAUCUCCGGGCCUAACCCGGAAACUGCGUUGGAAACUAUCCAGCUUGAGGGUUGGAGGGGGGACUGGAAUUCUCGGUGUAGCAGUGAAAUGCGUAGAUAUCGAGAGGAACACCAGUGGCGAAGGCGGGUCCCUGGACAACACCUGACGCUGAGGCACGAAAGCCGGGGGAGCAAACAGG
This 253-nucleotide ribosomal RNA is filed under the name uncultured bacterium. RNAcentral's name for it is "partial 16S ribosomal RNA". It matches the Rfam family "Bacterial small subunit ribosomal RNA", at positions 524 to 776 of the family's 1533-position model. The record is from RNAcentral.